AGUGAACUUCGUUUGAAACGGCAUCCUUUUUCUUUUUUCCUUUAAAAAGAAAAAGAUAAUGUGGAAAGCGGGAAAUAGC
Molecule: small RNA, 79 nt
Filed under: Flavobacterium xinjiangense
Lineage: Bacteria; Pseudomonadati; Bacteroidota; Flavobacteriia; Flavobacteriales; Flavobacteriaceae
Description: Flavo-1 RNA
Rfam family: Flavo-1 RNA
Source: RNAcentral